GACGAACGCUGGCGGCGUGCCUAACACAUGCAAGUCGAACGGGACUGGGGGCAACUCCAGUUCAGUGGCGGACGGGUGCGUAACACGUGAGGAACAUGUCCUCGGUGGGAAUAGCCGGCCUAACGGCCGGGUAAUACCGCGUACGACCCCUGGGUGGCAUCACUUUGGGGUGAAAGCAGCAAUGCGCCGAUGGAGUGCCUCGCGGCCUAUCAGCUAGUUGGUGGGGUAAUGGCCCACCAAGGCGACGACGGGUAGCUGGUCUGAGAGGAUGAUCAGCCACAUUGGGACUGAGACACGGCCCAGACUCCUACGGGAGGCAGCAGUGGGGAAUCUUGCGCAAAUGGGCGAAAGCCUGACGCAGCGACGCCGCGUGUGGGAUGACGGUCUUCGGAUUGUAAAACCACUGUCGGGAGGGACGAAUGCGCCGCAAGGCGAGUGACGGUACCUCCAGAGGAAGCACCGGCUAACUCUGUGCCAGCAGCCGCGGUAAUACAGAGGGUGCGAGCGUGUCG
Molecule: ribosomal RNA, 512 nt
Filed under: uncultured bacterium
Lineage: Bacteria
Description: bacterial SSU rRNA
Rfam family: Bacterial small subunit ribosomal RNA
Source: RNAcentral